AUACCCGGGUAGUCCCAGCUGUAAACGAUGCAGGCUAGGUGUUUGGACGGCCACGUGCCGUUCUAGUGCCGCAGGGAAGCUGUUAAGCCUGCCGCCUGGGGAGUACGAUCGCAAGAUUGAAACUUAAAGGAAUUGGCGGGGGAGCACCACAAGGGGUGAAGCUUGCGGUUUAAUUGGAGUCAACGCCGGAAAUCUCACCGGGAGCGACAGCAGUAUGAAGGCCAGAUUAAAGGUCUUGCCAGACGAGCUGAGAGGAGGUGCAUGGCCGUCGCCAGUUCGUGCCGUGAGGUGUCCUGUUAAGUCAGGCAACGAUCGAGACCCGCGUCCUCUGUUGCAACUAGCUUUGAGCUGGGCACACUGAGGAGACCGCCACUGAUAAAGUGGAGGAAGGAGCGGGCCACGGCAGGUCAGUAUGCCCCGAAUCUCCCGGGCCACACGCGAGCUGCAAUGGCAGGUACAAUGGGUUCCGACCUCGAAAGGGGAAGGCAAUCUCGAAAGCCUGCCGUAGUUGGGAUCGAGGGCUGCAACCCGCCCUCGUGAACAUGGAAUCCCUAGUAAUCGC
Molecule: ribosomal RNA, 562 nt
Filed under: uncultured archaeon
Lineage: Archaea
Description: bacterial SSU rRNA
Rfam family: Archaeal small subunit ribosomal RNA
Source: RNAcentral